Molecule: long non-coding RNA, 1026 nt
Filed under: Eucalyptus grandis
Lineage: Eukaryota; Viridiplantae; Streptophyta; Magnoliopsida; Myrtales; Myrtaceae
Description: long non-coding RNA (EGRA_LNC005109)
Source: RNAcentral
AAGAGCUGCUGGGCAUGAUUCCUAUUCAUCAUCUCAUUUAGCAUCAUCAUGUUGGGCAUCUGGCCAUUGCCCAUCAUUGGCUUCGUCUUGUUGGGUGCUUGGUGGUAGGCAUCAUCAUAAUCAUCAAAAUCCUCAUCAUCCAUAAAAUCAUCAUCUUCAUCAUAAUCCCACUCUUCAUCAGUGAAUUCCUCAUCCUCAGGCAGAAUGAAUUUCCCUCCUCCUUUCUGGUUCAGGAUCGGACCCGGGUCCUUGGAGGGCAUCUUGAGGUCCUUGAAUUGGGGCAGCUUGAGAUCUUGCAACGCUUUCAUCUGCUGGAGCUGCUGAAGCUGCUGCUGGUUCGGGACGUUCUUACCAUUUUUGGCAUUACCCCCGUUCUUGCCACCAUUUUUACCACCACCGCCACCUUGGCUUUGAUUAUUUCCUCCUCCGCCUUUUUUCCCACCGUUCCCAUUUUUGCCAUCAUUGUUCUGAAUAGGCGCACCUCCACCACCGCCACCUUUCUUGCCAUUAUUACCAGCACUACCUCCAACAUUUCCCCCACCCUUUUGAGCAUUCAAGAGCUGCUGGGCAUGAUUCCCAUUCAUCAUCUCAUUCAGCAUCAUCAUGUUGGGCAUCUGGCCAUUGCCCAUCAUUGGCUUCGUCUUGUUGGGUGCUUGGUGGUGGGCAUCAUCAUAGACAUCAUCAAACUCCUCAUCAUCCAUAGAAUCAUCAUCUUCAUCAUUGACUUCAUCAGACUCCUCAUCAUCCUUAGAAUCAUCAUCUUCAUCAUUGUCAUCAGACUCUUCAUCAGUGAAUUCCUCAUCCUCAGGCAGAAUGAAUUUCACUCCUCCUUUCUGGUUCAGGUUUGGACCCGGGUCCUUGAAGGGCAUCUUGAGGUCCUUGAAUUGGGGCAGCUUAUGAUCUUGGGAAGAUUUCAUCUGCUGAAGCUGCUUGAGCUGCUGGAGCUGCUGAUGGAGCUGCAGCUGGGUCGGAUGUGGAAACAGCUGCUGGCUCGGGAGGUUCUGACCACCCUUAGGCUGGUUGUUU